GCCCCUGGUGGUCUAGUGGUUAGGGUGCAGCACUUUCACUGCUGCGACCCGGGUUCGAUUCCCGGCCCCCCGGGCA
Molecule: non-coding RNA, 76 nt
Organism: Lepidothrix coronata (blue-crowned manakin)
Lineage: Eukaryota; Metazoa; Chordata; Aves; Passeriformes; Pipridae
Source: the annotation of a RefSeq genome assembly